CGCCGCGUGAGGGAUGAAGGCCUCUGGGCUGUAAACCUCUUUUAUCAAGGAAGAAGAUCUGAGGGUACUUGAUGAAUAAGCCACGGCUAAUUCCGUGCCAGCAGCCGCGGUAAUACGGGAGUGGCAAGCGUUAUCCGGAAUUAUUGGGCGUAAAGCGUCCGCAGGCGGUCUUGUAAGUCUGUUGUUAAAACGUGGAGCUCAACUCCAUUUCAGCAAUGGAAACUACAAGACUAGAGUGUGGUAGGGGCAGAGGGAAUUCCCGGUGUAGCGGUGAAAUGCGUAGAUAUCGGGAAGAACACCAGUGGCGAAGGCGCUCUGCUGGGCCAUAACUGACGCUCAUGGACAAAAGCCAGGGGAGCGAAAGGGAUUAGAUACCCCUGUAGUCCUGGCCGUAAACGAUGAACACUAGGUGUCGGGGGAAUCGACCCCCUCGGUGUCGUAGCCAACGCGUUAAGUGUUCCGCCUGGGGAGUACGCACGCAAGUGUGAAACUCAAAUGAAUUGACGGCGG
RNAcentral lists this ribosomal RNA (510 nucleotides) under uncultured bacterium. Its description in RNAcentral is "bacterial SSU rRNA". It matches the Rfam family "Bacterial small subunit ribosomal RNA", at positions 395 to 919 of the family's 1533-position model. The record is from RNAcentral.